Molecule: ribosomal RNA, 247 nt
Filed under: uncultured bacterium
Lineage: Bacteria
Description: partial 16S ribosomal RNA
Rfam family: Bacterial small subunit ribosomal RNA
Source: RNAcentral
UACGAAGGGGGCUAGCGUUGCUCGGAAUUACUGGGCGUAAAGGGAGCGUAGGCGGAUAGUUUAGUCAGAGGUGAAAGCCCAGGGCUCAACCUUGGAAUUGCCUUUGAUACUGGCUAUCUUGAGUACGGAAGAGGUAUGUGGAACUCCGAGUGUAGAGGUGAAAUUCGUAGAUAUUCGGAAGAACACCAGUGGCGAAGGCGACAUACUGGUCCGUUACUGACGCUGAGGCUCGAAAGCGUGGGGGAGC